AUUGAACGCUGGCGGCAGGCCUAACACAUGCAAGUCGAGCGGAGCGGCGGACGGGUGAGUAAUGCCUAGGAAUCUGCCUGGUCGUGGGGGAUAACGUCCGGAAACGGGCGCUAAUACCGCAUACUAUCAGAUGAGCCUAGGUCGGAUUAGCUAGUUGGUGGGGUAAAGGCUCACCUAGGCGACGAUCCCUAGCUGGGCUGAGCGGAUGACCAGCCACACUGGAACUGAGACACGGUCCAAACUCCUACGGGAGGCAGCGGUGGGGAAUAUUGGACAAGGGGCGCAAGCCUGAUGCAGCCAUGCCGCGUGUGUGAAGAAGGCCUUCGGGUUGUAAAGCACUUUCAGCGGGGAGGCGUUACCCGCAGAAGAAGCACCGGCUAACUCCGUGCCAGCAGCCGCGGUAAUAC
This 407-nucleotide ribosomal RNA is filed under the name uncultured bacterium. RNAcentral describes it as "partial 16S ribosomal RNA". It matches the Rfam family "Bacterial small subunit ribosomal RNA", at positions 29 to 526 of the family's 1533-position model. The record is from RNAcentral.